This 460-nucleotide ribosomal RNA is filed under the name uncultured bacterium. RNAcentral's name for it is "partial 16S ribosomal RNA". It matches the Rfam family "Bacterial small subunit ribosomal RNA", at positions 338 to 795 of the family's 1533-position model. The record is from RNAcentral.
CCUACGGGAGGCAGCAGUGAGGAAUAUUGGUCAAUGGACGAGAGUCUGAACCAGCCAAGUAGCGUGAAGGAUGACUGCCCUAUGGGUUGUAAACUUCUUUUAUAUGGGAAUAAAACAGGGUAUGCAUACCCUCUUGUAUGUACCAUAUGAAUAAGGAUCGGCUAACUCCGUGCCAGCAGCCGCGGUAAUACGGAGGAUCCGAGCGUUAUCAGGAUUUAUUGGGUUUAAAGGGAGCGUAGGUGGAUUGUUAAGUCAGUUGUGAAAGUUUGCGGCUCAACCGUAAAAUUGCAGUUGAAACUGGCAGUCGUGAGUACAGUAGAGGUGGGCGGAAUUCGUGGUGUAGCGGUGAAAUGCUUAGAUAUCACGAAGAACUCCGAUUGCGAAGGCAGCUCACUGGACUACAACUGACACUGAUGCUCGAAAGUGUGGGUAUCAAACAGGAUUAGAUACCCCAGUAGUC